This 474-nucleotide ribosomal RNA is filed under the name uncultured bacterium. RNAcentral's name for it is "partial 16S ribosomal RNA". It matches the Rfam family "Bacterial small subunit ribosomal RNA", at positions 31 to 542 of the family's 1533-position model. The record is from RNAcentral.
AACGAACGCUGGCGGCAUGCCUAACACAUGCAAGUCGAACGAGACCUUCGGGUCUAGUGGCACACGGGUGCGUAACGCGUGGGAACCUGCCCUUAGGUUCGGAAUAACUCCCCGAAAGGGGUGCUAAUACCGGAUAAUGUCUUCGGACCAAAGAUUUAUCGCCUUUGGACGGGCCCGCGUUGGAUUAGCUAGUUGGUAGGGUAAAAGCCUACCAAGGCGACGAUCCAUAGCUGGUCUGAGAGGAUGAUCAGCCACACUGGGACUGAGACACGGCCCAGGAUCCGAGGGGAGGCAGGAGGGGUGAUGAUGGACGAAUGGGAAAAGGCAUGCUCCAGCGAGGGUGAGUGAGUGAGAGAGGUCUGAGGGUUGGAACGUUUUUUUCCCCGGGAGAAUGAAAACGGUGAGGGGAGAAACAGCGCCGGCCACCUCCGUGCCAGCAGGCGCGGUAAUAACCGGAAGACCACACGUUUCACC